This 492-nucleotide ribosomal RNA is filed under the name uncultured bacterium. RNAcentral's name for it is "partial 16S ribosomal RNA". It matches the Rfam family "Bacterial small subunit ribosomal RNA", at positions 29 to 507 of the family's 1533-position model. The record is from RNAcentral.
AGUGAACGCUGGCGGUAGGCCUAACACAUGCAAGUCGAACGGCAGCACAGUAAGAGCUUGCUCUUACGGGUGGCGAGUGGCGGACGGGUGAGGAAUACAUCGGAAUCUACUUUUUCGUGGGGGAUAACGUAGGGAAACUUACGCUAAUACCGCAUACGACCUACGGGUGAAAGCAGGGGAUCUUCGGACCUUGCGCGAUUGAAUGAGCCGAUGUCGGAUUGGCUAGUUGGCGGGGUAAAGGCCCACCAAGGCGACGAUCCGUAGCUGGACUGAGAGGAUGAUCAGCCACACUGGAACUGAGACACGGUCCAGACUCCUACGGGAGGCAGCAGUGGGGAAUAUUGGACAAUGGGCGCAAGCCUGAUCCAGCCAUACCGCGUGGGUGAAGAAGGCCUUCGGGUUGUAAAGCCCUUUUGUUGGGAAAGAAAAGCAGCAGGUUAAUACCCCGCUGUUCUGACGGUACCCAAAGAAUAAGCACCGGCUAACUUCGUG